UGGUCUCUGAGGAAACAUUCCUUCUCUACCACACAAGUGGUAAAUAAAAUCUACAAAUAAAUUCUAUUUCCCCAAAUGUAUAGGAUACAAAAAAAUGUAUUCAUUAGUGUGAGAUAUAAAAAUGUAGACUCACACUUCUGAAAUCUACGGCUGUUCCUUUCACACUUGUGCCAAAGGCAAACAAACAUAAUUCUCCCUGGCAGCUGGACGACAUUCCAAACAGCCACCACAUUAAUUCACUCACCUCCAUCAGCCUCCGCCUGCAACCUGCACAGCUUGCUGCCAGGAAGCCUGGCAAUAAAUUCCAACUCUAAAUACCAAACAAGGUAGAAAAUACCAUACAAUGCAUUAUUCCAAAGGACAAAAAUGGGCUUGCAUGAUAGGGAUACUGAGCAAGGAGCUCUUCCACUGCCUUUUGGAGAUCUCCUCAUUGCCCUUAUGGAGAUUGGCAGCUGCCACAGAAAAUGUAGUUUUGCACUGACAAUUGAAUUCUGGAUUUCUUACUUGAAAUUUGAGUCAUUUUUUUUUUAUAACAAUAAAUAGCUACAUGCUUGAUUAAAACUAACAUUUGUAUGUUGAUGAUGUGCAAACUAAUGUUAACACCUGAUGUGAUAAUGAGGGAUCAAGCCUGGAAUUGCUGUGUAUUCAAGUGCUUCUGGAGAAGGGUGUUGUGGACACUGCUGCAGCUCUGCAACAUCUCUUAGUGAGGCUUUUUAUUUUUUUUCCAACUAGCUAUAUAUGAAAAGGCAGAAAAAGCCCAAGAACUAAAAGUAAGUCUGUUCUUGGAAGAAACAGAAUGCACCUUUCUCACCUAACAGCAACUGCAAACAAAAUGGUCACUAUCUCAGGAAACAGAUAAUUUCUCAUCAAGUUAAAGGAGUUCAACCUAAAAGAACACCAAGCAAACUAAGUUUUCCAGUUUCUUGGGUUCUUAUGAGUAUGAAGAUCUGAGAGAGAAAACUCAACAGAGCAGCUGUCAAAAAUGUUAUUGCCGGUUUGGUUAAGAUUGCAUUCAGCACACAAGUUAGCCAUUCUGUACAUUCCAGCCAAAAGUUUCUGGAUACCAUGUUGUCUUGGAGUGCAAUGGAGCCAUCUGAAGAGACAUUACUGGCUGCAGGAGGAUCCCUGGAGAGACUGACACAUGGAUUGCCCUCAAAUAUCUGCUGAAGCAGCAGGAGACAUUCUUGUAACAAGCAAGAAGAGACAGUGGUGUGGUGCAGCACUUCUUAACAAACAAGGUGGAAAAGAGGAAUCCCUCUCUGCUUCCAACAGAGGAAAGGGAAAUCUUGCUUCACUUCUGAAAAUACUUCUGGAAGCAAAUAAAAAUGCCAGCUCUAGUAAAAUCAUCUUUUACAGAGCUACAGCCUUGAGUCAGGUAAUGACAGUAUGGAGACAGGACUGCCAGCCUUUGUGCUGGAGCCAUUUUCUGCAGCCUGCCUGCCAGUCAGCAGAGCUCUCCCAGUGUUGCAGCUGCAAUGAAGGAAGGCAAGCACUGGCAGAGGUCAUGGUGCAGCCUGGCUGGGCCGUGUGCCUGUGUGGGUGGUGGGCCAGAGCCCCAGGACAAGGCACACCCCAGCUAUCCACUGGAGAUAGAGCAGAAGUGUUUCAAGGUGUACUUUGCCAAUGGCCUUUCAGAGCCGUGGCUCUUGGUCUCUGCAAUGUUCCCCUCACCAAGGCCCUCUCAGCCUCCAUGAGACUUCCAUUUGUUGAUCACUCUGGUGCUUAAAACCUGAAUCUUGACUACUCUAUAUCAGACUUGUCCAUUGUCCUCUCUAUUCAAGGCCUGCCCCACACAGUUAAACCCUGUGAUCCAACCUACACAUGCCUCAAGUUGUUCUCAGGCUCCCCACUCAACCUAAUAUCAAUCAAUCUUACUCAUAAUCUCCACUGGGGAAUUUUUACAAGGAUAAAGGAAUUAUUCUGCUCUUCAGACUGCAGUUAGACUUACUGGUGGGUGCAUGCAUGCUCAGUGUGUCCCAGGGGGUUCAAUUCCUCAGAUCAAAAAUGGGCAUCUGAUUAAAAUACAAGGCAGAUUUCUUCUGUACAGGAUGCUGAAGUUCCUUCCCAAUAAUGGACAAUGGAGGAAACAAUGGAACUGAGGGGGAAAGUCAUAUGUACUGAGAACCCAGUUUAAUCUGGGGGUCCUAUGCAGAUCUAUUGCUUUCUUAGUUUCAGGAUCUCCAUAGUGUUUCCAGGUCAUUAUGCCAGCCAGGGAAGUUCUCAAUGCCCAUCAGCAAGCAAUGCUGAAAGACCUGCACCUUACUUGUGCCCCAGGAAAGUCAGUGCUUUUGGUCUUACAAAUAAAGCAGGAGUAGAAGUCAGAUAGACUCGGACAGCAACUCGGAGAGCAUGUGUUGUCUUCCAGCCAGCUUUGGCCAGUCUUUGGUAGCAAUUGAACCAAACUAUCAAUUAAGUGUUUGUAUCAUUUCAUAAUGAAAUACCAUCACAUUCUAAGCAUCAAGUUAUUAUUUGCAUAAAAUGAUGUCACACUCUUUUUACAGUCACCUAAUUUCUCUUAUGUUAAGCAGUUUCCAGGCUGAUUCACCCAUAUGCCAAUUAUGCCACAGAGCAGACUCCUGUCCAGUGGUCUUUGUUUUGGUCUUUGAUACUGCUUUGGUCUAAAAUCUUCAUAGUAGUGGCUUCCUCCUGUAUGAUGUGAAAAAGCAGGCGUGCACAGUGUCACUGACUUCUGACCCCACAGAAAGCCCCACAAGAUCAGUGUUUAGUCUCAUGCAUUAAAUAAUGUCCACGAACCUAGGACAUGCCUCCAGUGGUGAUGAAGAAACUUGUGCCUGAGCUGGCAUGACUGAUAAGUGGAAGAAAUGUGCCUGAACAAACGAGUUCUGCCUUACACCACCCUCUGCCAGCCCCUGUCUAGCUCAUUUGCACAGCAGGGCUCUGUGCCAUGCCAGAGGCUGACGUGGCUCCCUGCGAGCUGGGGGAUCACUGCUGGGCUCCGUGUGGAGACAAUGCUAACGAGCUCUGACUCCCAGGGAGCAGUGGCAGCCAGGAGGAGGACAUGCAGAGGAGAGGAAAAGGCUGACUGCUGUCUCCUUUUUUCCAUUACAUUCUCAUUUUAUAUUCUUAUCAUCUUACUUAGGUAUAUUUUCAUUACUUAUAUUUAUGCUUUUCAUUACUAUUUUCUCUCAUUUCUCUUAUUAGAUUAUAAAAAUAUCUACUGAUAUUUAUUCCAAGAAUCUUGAAUGCAGGGGAAACCCUUGGUGCAGCUACUGAAGAAAGAUGCUAUAUAAAGAAUACUUCAGCAUAAUGCUGCCAUCACAUCUAUCAGGGAACAUAUCUCCCAUCUUUAAAUGCAAUGACUAAAAUCAAUAGGCAAGCAAAUAAUAUGAUGCACUUGGAACAGAAUUGGGCCAUUGCACUGAGGACGGAAAUAUUCCAUAGCUUUUUUGGAAGAGUGUCUGGCCAUAGAGUUGUGUGUGUAAGUUUAGGUGUAGAAAGUCAUAAACAACUUUUAACAAAACUUCUGACUCUGCAAAGCAAUUCUACUUUUAUAUAACAAGAAUGAAUUUUUAGCCAUAGAAGUCCUGCAGCACCAACAGAGUGAAAAUGGGCAAGAAAUACUCUUAUAGAUAGAAAAUCCAGCCAUAUACCAUUUUAACCAGGGAUUUUAAAAAAGCUUCUGCUCAGUAUAUGUGCAAAGUGGAUAGUUUUCCCCUCUUUUUUUUUUUUUUUUUUUUUUUUUUUUUUUUUUUUUUAUUCUUAUACAGAUGGUUUCAAGGCAGGGAUUUGGAAAAUAUCUGAAAACAAACCUCACAAGACAAAGAUUUACAAGUGCUUACAUCUAGAUUUCUGAUAGGGUAGCCAGACAUCAGGGAAGAAUUUUGCUUUCUUCUCAAAAAUAUUGGAGCUAUCAAGACGGAUUGGGCACAGAAGAUAGUGUAUGUAAGGGCAGUUGGAUGACUGAAAAUAGAAACUUUUAAGAAUAACACAGAGCCAUUUUGGAAGAGAAUUCUGUAUCUGGAGAGCACAGCAGACUGGCCAAACUAUAUCAAGGAUAUCCAGGAACCUGGUAAGCAGAUGUGAGGCAUGUGGGGAAAUGUGGUCCAAACAGCAAAAGAAGCUAUGAAAAACUGCAGCAUCCCUAGCAGGCCUUGGAGCACAGUAGGAAUGGGCCUUCUGAGAAAAUGCACCAAAAAGUUACAAUUUUGAGCUAGAAGAUUGUAGGUACUUGUACAUCUCUUUUAAAUGUGAAGUUAAAACACUGUCACAGCUGAGUGUAAAUUUAGCACGUAUUACUUUAUUUUUGAACUGCUUGCUAUGAAUUGAACUGUUUCCCAAUUGAGAGAUGGUAACUUAACCCAGGAAUGUGUUAGCUUGGAUGGUUGCAAUGACCUCAACAGAGUGUUGAGAGAGAGAGACCCUAUCUCUGCAAAAGGCAAAGAAAAAAUACAGCCAGCCCUUCCUGGGUAAAGAAAUAGAUGUACCAAGAGCCUGAACAACAUCCUGCUGCUGCACACAAUGUUGUCUGCAUAUUUUUACAUUCACAGCCCCACCACCACUGCCACUAGUGGUGGUGAGAGGAUGAGGAAGAUCAGUGCAUGUGAAAAGAUGAGAAUUCACUACAACCAAAACCCUGACUGCCUUCUAAGCAGGAGACUGUUGUAACUGGGGAUCUCCCCAGAACAAGCUGUAACCUUGAAAAAACUCAGGGCAUCGAAAAAGGAAAUUCUUGUUGAUACAAUACAGCAGUGGGCAAGCAUAUGCUUCCCUGAGACAUUAUUGCAACACUGGGUCAUUGACAUUGCUAUGAAGGAGAGUGAGAUCCACCUUCACUGAGAUAUGAUCAGCACUGCAUUGAGAAACUACAGCCAGCGGAAGGAUUGACUGCAAGACAGCCUCCUGGCACUGUCAGAAGAUAAACACUCAUUAAACUCCUACGGGGUAAAUCUAAGACCCUGUGCUACAGCACAGUGUGGAGCAACACCUCUCCAAGCCCCGAGGAAAAUAUCUUAGAUCCUACACACAGUUAAGAAAAGAGAAAGAGACAGACGAGUGUGUUAAAAUAUGUAUGAUGUUAAUGAAUUUCAGACUUCAAGGGUGUGUAACAGAAUGCUAAGCACAUAAAUUGGCUGUGGUAGUUGCAAUUAAUUUUGGUAUCUUAAAUAAAUGCAGUAAAUGGAACAUUA
Haemorhous mexicanus (house finch) is the source of this 5147-nucleotide long non-coding RNA. RefSeq lists it as uncharacterized. The record is from RefSeq and is a predicted model, not a curated record. The transcript has 5 exons. Lineage: Eukaryota; Metazoa; Chordata; Aves; Passeriformes; Fringillidae.